UGUCCAGUAACUCCUAUCCCUACCUCCCCGUGGUGCCGCCUGGGGUACGAGUAACCGUAGGGAACAUCGGGUAACCAACCCCAGUGGGACUUUGGUCGUAUGCUGACAGGGAAGG
This 115-nucleotide ribozyme is filed under the name Aedes aegypti (yellow fever mosquito). RNAcentral's name for it is "drz-agam-1 ribozyme". It matches the Rfam family "drz-agam-1 ribozyme". Lineage: Eukaryota; Metazoa; Arthropoda; Insecta; Diptera; Culicidae. The record is from Rfam by way of RNAcentral.